This 235-nucleotide unclassified non-coding RNA is filed under the name uncultured fungus. RNAcentral's name for it is "sequence contains ITS1". The record is from RNAcentral. Lineage: Eukaryota; Fungi.
UUUAAUUUUUAUAAUUAACCCAGACAAAAUAAUUAAAUAAGAGUUGUUUAAAAUUUUUCCUCUGGCGAGCACACAUCAGCCUAAGCCAAUGGAAAAGCUUUACCUUUUACGGCUCACCGAAGCAACAAAGUCAAAGUACGCACGGGGUUGGAGGUCUAAACCCCCCCCCCCAAAAUAAAAGGAGGGGGGGCCAUAACUCUUGUUAAUGAUCCUUCCGCAGGUUCACCUACGGAAA